UCUGGUGGCCGUCAGAUGGGAGCACGGAGAGAAAGUAAUGCAUGUUACUAGAUUUUGUUGUCUUAUGAUAGAAAGUAUAGAGACAAAAUCUAUGAAAGACUUUUUUUAAGAGUGUUUGAUGAUUGGUGGUCGUCAAAAAAGAUCAAAGAGAAGUUAGACGCAUGUCUUCAAAUGUACGGAGUAUCUUUUAUUUUGUUGUGCCGUUGCAACGCGGACAUUUCUGCUUAAUUUUUUUUUGAAUUAUGUUUUUUUUUGAAAAACCCCUCGAGAAACCUAGCAGCAACCUACGGUUCGUAAUCGGAAUUAACAACGGCGAACCGUUUUGGAUCCAAGUGUUAUACUAAUACCAUCUUUCAUCUUUCGUGGACUA
This 370-nucleotide long non-coding RNA is filed under the name Brachypodium distachyon (stiff brome). Its description in RNAcentral is "long non-coding RNA (BDIS_LNC005489)". Lineage: Eukaryota; Viridiplantae; Streptophyta; Magnoliopsida; Poales; Poaceae. The record is from RNAcentral.